UAGGGUGGAGCUCAGUGGUAGAGCACGUGCUUAGCAUGCAUGAGGUCCCGGGUUUGAUCCCCAGUACCUUCA
This 72-nucleotide transfer RNA is filed under the name Camelus bactrianus (Bactrian camel). It matches the Rfam family "tRNA". Rfam says of the family: Transfer RNA (tRNA) molecules are approximately 80 nucleotides in length. Their secondary structure includes four short double-helical elements and three loops (D, anti-codon, and T loops). Further hydrogen bonds mediate the characteristic L-shaped molecular structure. tRNAs have two regions of fundamental functional importance: the anti-codon, which is responsible for specific mRNA codon recognition, and the 3' end, to which the tRNAs corresponding amino acid is attached (by aminoacyl-tRNA synthetases). tRNAs cope with the degeneracy of the genetic code in two manners: having more than one tRNA (with a specific anti-codon) for a particular amino acid; and 'wobble' base-pairing, i.e. permitting non-standard base-pairing at the 3rd anti-codon position. RNAcentral also lists the same sequence under 2 other names. Lineage: Eukaryota; Metazoa; Chordata; Mammalia; Artiodactyla; Camelidae. The record is from Rfam by way of RNAcentral.